UACGGAGGAUCCGAGCGUUAUCCGGAUUUAUUGGGUUUAAAGGGUGCGUAGGUGGUUUGAUAAGUCAGCGGUGAAAGUUUGCAGCUUAACUGUAAAAAUGCCGUUGAAACUGUCGGACUUGAGUGUAAAUGAGGUAGGCGGAAUGCGUGGUGUAGCGGUGAAAUGCAUAGAUAUCACGCAGAACUCCGAUUGCGAAGGCAGCUUACUAAGCUACAACUGACACUGAAGCACGAAAGCGUGGGGAUCAAACAGGAUUAGAUACCCG
RNAcentral lists this ribosomal RNA (265 nucleotides) under uncultured prokaryote. Its description in RNAcentral is "partial 16S ribosomal RNA". It matches the Rfam family "Bacterial small subunit ribosomal RNA", at positions 524 to 788 of the family's 1533-position model. The record is from RNAcentral.